Anastrepha obliqua is the source of this 437-nucleotide long non-coding RNA. RefSeq lists it as uncharacterized. The record is from RefSeq and is a predicted model, not a curated record. Lineage: Eukaryota; Metazoa; Arthropoda; Insecta; Diptera; Tephritidae. The transcript is spliced from 2 exons.
GAUGUAUGUGCAAGUAAUUCAUUUAUAGAAGAGGGAAGAACCUUUGGUUAUUUCCAUUACUUGUUUUAAAUGCGUUUUAUUGUAAGAACUGCUAUAGUUUGCCAAUCAUGUUAAGAGUAUAAAAAGAGCUCCUAAACGAUUGGUCAAUCAUUGUAUUCAAAACGUUUGCAAUAUGAGGUUCCAACUACUCAUCGGCUUUGUGCUGGCGUUACUCGCUGUGGCUUUUGCCAAUCCCAAUCCUUUACCUAAGCCUGAGCCAUAUCCAGGUGGCGGUGGCGGCGGCGGAGGUGGUGGUGGAGGUGGAGGCGGCGGUGGCGGUGGUGGCAAGUAAAUCUAAAACUGGCCGAUACUUAACCACGAAUUGAUAAUAAUUACCUGUAAAUGCUAAAUAAAUGUGUACUGAGCAAUCAAACGCAAAGUGCACAACUAUGGAGAAA